This 2777-nucleotide ribosomal RNA is filed under the name Staphylococcus aureus. RNAcentral describes it as "partial 23S ribosomal RNA". It matches the Rfam family "Bacterial large subunit ribosomal RNA". The record is from RNAcentral. Lineage: Bacteria; Bacillati; Bacillota; Bacilli; Caryophanales; Staphylococcaceae.
GGCGCACGGUGGAUGCCUUGGCACUAGAAGCCGAUGAAGGACGUUACUAACGACGAUAUGCUUUGGGGAGCUGUAAGUAAGCUUUGAUCCAGAGAUUUCCGAAUGGGGAAACCCAGCAUGAGUUAUGUCAUGUUAUCGAUAUGUGAAUACAUAGCAUAUCAGAAGGCACACCCGGAGAACUGAAACAUCUUAGUACCCGGAGGAAGAGAAAGAAAAUUCGAUUCCCUUAGUAGCGGCGAGCGAAACGGGAAGAGCCCAAACCAACAAGCUUGCUUGUUGGGGUUGUAGGACACUCUAUACGGAGUUACAAAGGACGACAUUAGACGAAUCAUCUGGAAAGAUGAAUCAAAGAAGGUAAUAAUCCUGUAGUCGAAAAUGUUGUCUCUCUUGAGUGGAUCCUGAGUACGACGGAGCACGUGAAAUUCCGUCGGAAUCUGGGAGGACCAUCUCCUAAGGCUAAAUACUCUCUAGUGACCGAUAGUGAACCAGUACCGUGAGGGAAAGGUGAAAAGCACCCCGGAAGGGGAGUGAAAUAGAACCUGAAACCGUGUGCUUACAAGUAGUCAGAGCCCGUUAAUGGGUGAUGGCGUGCCUUUUGUAGAAUGAACCGGCGAGUUACGAUUUGAUGCAAGGUUAAGCAGUAAAUGUGGAGCCGUAGCGAAAGCGAGUCUGAAUAGGGCGUUUAGUAUUUGGUCGUAGACCCGAAACCAGGUGAUCUACCCUUGGUCAGGUUGAAGUUCAGGUAACACUGAAUGGAGGACCGAACCGACUUACGUUGAAAAGUGAGCGGAUGAACUGAGGGUAGCGGAGAAAUUCCAAUCGAACCUGGAGAUAGCUGGUUCUCUCCGAAAUAGCUUUAGGGCUAGCCUCAAGUGAUGAUUAUUGGAGGUAGAGCACUGUUUGGACGAGGGGCCCCUCUCGGGUUACCGAAUUCAGACAAACUCCGAAUGCCAAUUAAUUUAACUUGGGAGUCAGAACAUGGGUGAUAAGGUCCGUGUUCGAAAGGGAAACAGCCCAGACCACCAGCUAAGGUCCCAAAAUAUAUGUUAAGUGGAAAAGGAUGUGGCGUUGCCCAGACAACUAGGAUGUUGGCUUAGAAGCAGCCAUCAUUUAAAGAGUGCGUAAUAGCUCACUAGUCGAGUGACACUGCGCCGAAAAUGUACCGGGGCUAAACAUAUUACCGAAGCUGUGGAUUGUCCUUUGGACAAUGGUAGGAGAGCGUUCUAAGGGCGUUGAAGCAUGAUCGUAAGGACAUGUGGAGCGCUUAGAAGUGAGAAUGCCGGUGUGAGUAGCGAAAGACGGGUGAGAAUCCCGUCCACCGAUUGACUAAGGUUUCCAGAGGAAGGCUCGUCCGCUCUGGGUUAGUCGGGUCCUAAGCUGAGGCCGACAGGCGUAGGCGAUGGAUAACAGGUUGAUAUUCCUGUACCACCUAUAAUCGUUUUAAUCGAUGGGGGGACGCAGUAGGAUAGGCGAAGCGUGCGAUUGGAUUGCACGUCUAAGCAGUAAGGCUGAGUAUUAGGCAAAUCCGGUACUCGUUAAGGCUGAGCUGUGAUGGGGAGAAGACAUUGUGUCUUCGAGUCGUUGAUUUCACACUGCCGAGAAAAGCCUCUAGAUAGAAAAUAGGUGCCCGUACCGCAAACCGACACAGGUAGUCAAGAUGAGAAUUCUAAGGUGAGCGAGCGAACUCUCGUUAAGGAACUCGGCAAAAUGACCCCGUAACUUCGGGAGAAGGGGUGCUCUUUAGGGUUAACGCCCAGAAGAGCCGCAGUGAAUAGGCCCAAGCGACUGUUUAUCAAAAACACAGGUCUCUGCUAAACCGUAAGGUGAUGUAUAGGGGCUGACGCCUGCCCGGUGCUGGAAGGUUAAGAGGAGUGGUUAGCUUCUGCGAAGCUACGAAUCGAAGCCCCAGUAAACGGCGGCCGUAACUAUAACGGUCCUAAGGUAGCGAAAUUCCUUGUCGGGUAAGUUCCGACCCGCACGAAAGGCGUAACGAUUUGGGCACUGUCUCAACGAGAGACUCGGUGAAAUCAUAGUACCUGUGAAGAUGCAGGUUACCCGCGACAGGACGGAAAGACCCCGUGGAGCUUUACUGUAGCCUGAUAUUGAAAUUCGGCACAGCUUGUACAGGAUAGGUAGGAGCCUUUGAAACGUGAGCGCUAGCUUACGUGGAGGCGCUGGUGGGAUACUACCCUAGCUGUGUUGGCUUUCUAACCCGCACCACUUAUCGUGGUGGGAGACAGUGUCAGGCGGGCAGUUUGACUGGGGCGGUCGCCUCCUAAAAGGUAACGGAGGCGCUCAAAGGUUCCCUCAGAAUGGUUGGAAAUCAUUCAUAGAGUGUAAAGGCAUAAGGGAGCUUGACUGCGAGACCUACAAGUCGAGCAGGGUCGAAAGACGGACUUAGUGAUCCGGUGGUUCCGCAUGGAAGGGCCAUCGCUCAACGGAUAAAAGCUACCCCGGGGAUAACAGGCUUAUCUCCCCCAAGAGUUCACAUCGACGGGGAGGUUUGGCACCUCGAUGUCGGCUCAUCGCAUCCUGGGGCUGUAGUCGGUCCCAAGGGUUGGGCUGUUCGCCCAUUAAAGCGGUACGCGAGCUGGGUUCAGAACGUCGUGAGACAGUUCGGUCCCUAUCCGUCGUGGGCGUAGGAAAUUUGAGAGGAGCUGUCCUUAGUACGAGAGGACCGGGAUGGACAUACCUCUGGUGUACCAGUUGUCGUGCCAACGGCAUAGCUGGGUAGCUAUGUGUGGACGGGAUAAGUGCUGAAAGCAUCUAAGCAUGAA